GUGAGUCAUCGAAUCUUUGAACGCACCUUGCGCCUUCUGGCUAUUCCAGAGGGCAUGCCUGCUUGAGUAUCAUGAACACCUCAACCCUCACGGUUUUGCCGUGAUGAGCUUGGACUUUGGAGGUCUUGCCGGCCUGUGGUCGGCUCCUCUCAAAUGAAUCAGCUUGCCAGUGUUUGGUGGCAUCACAGGUGUGAUAACUAUCUACGCUUGUGGUUUUCUACCAAAUAACCUUCAGUGAUGGAGGUUCGCUGGAGCUAAUAAAUGUCUCUUCUCAGUGAGGACAGCUUUUCAAAUGUUUGAUCUCAAAUCAGGUAGGACUACCCGCUGAACUUAAGCAUAUCAAUAAGCGGAGG
RNAcentral lists this ribosomal RNA (353 nucleotides) under uncultured Tomentella. RNAcentral's name for it is "eukaryotic LSU rRNA". The stretch from base 1 to 72 matches the Rfam family "5.8S ribosomal RNA", at positions 84 to 154 of the family's 154-position model. Lineage: Eukaryota; Fungi; Basidiomycota; Agaricomycetes; Thelephorales; Thelephoraceae. The record is from RNAcentral.